GAAUAUAGUUAAUACCUAUAUUCCGUGACUUAACUUACAGAAUAAGGACCGGCUAACUCCGUGCCAGCAGCCGCGGUAAUACGGAGGGUCCAAGCGUUAAUCGGAAUUACUGGGCGUAAAGCGCGCGUAGGCGGUUUGUCAAGUUGGAUGUGAAAUCCCUGGGCUCAACCUAGGAACUGCAUUCAAAACUUAUAGACUAGAGUACGAUAGAGGAGAGUAGAAUUCCUGGUGUAGCGGUGAAAUGCGUAGAUAUCAGGAGGAAUACCAAUGGCGAAGGCAACUCUCUGGAUCGACACUGACGCUGAGGUGCGAAAGCGUGGGUAGCAAACAGGAUUAGAUACCCUGGUAGUCCACGCCGUAAACGAUGAGAACUAGCCGUUGGAUCUUAGAUUCAGUGGUACAGCUAACGCAUUAAGUUCUCCGCCUGGGGAGUACGGCCGCAAGGCUAAAACUCAAAUGAAUUGACGGGGGCCCGCACAAGCGGUGGAGCAUGUGGUUUAAUUCGAUGCAACGCGAAAAACCUUACCAACCCUUGACAUCUAGUGAAAUUUCUAGAGAUAGAUUUGUGCCUUCGGGAACACUAUGACAGGUGUUGCAUGGCUGUCGUCAGCUCGUGUCGUGAGAUGUAUGGUUAAGUCCAGUAACGAGCGCAACCCCUAUUCUUAUUUGCCAGCACUUCGGGUGGGAACUAUAAGGAGACCGCCGUGUAUAACACGGAGGAAGGCGGGGACGACGUCAAGUCAUCAUGGCCCUUACGGGUUGGGCUACACACGUGCUACAAUGGGAGAUACAGAUGGUUGCGAAAGCGCGAGCUGGAGCUAAUCCCAAAAAGUCUUCCUCAGUCCGGAAUGGAGUCUGCAACUCGACUCCAUGAAGCAGGAAUCGCUAGUAAU
RNAcentral lists this ribosomal RNA (893 nucleotides) under marine metagenome. RNAcentral's name for it is "bacterial SSU rRNA". It matches the Rfam family "Bacterial small subunit ribosomal RNA", at positions 447 to 1342 of the family's 1533-position model. The record is from RNAcentral.